Long non-coding RNA from Diachasma alloeum, 886 nucleotides. RefSeq lists it as uncharacterized. NCBI's taxonomy places the organism in Eukaryota, Metazoa, Arthropoda, Insecta, Hymenoptera, Braconidae. The record is from RefSeq and is a predicted model, not a curated record. The transcript is spliced from 3 exons.
CGUCAACUGCACGCGAAUAAAAAAUCCCAUGGCACUCGCCCUGGAAAUUCCAGGCUGGAAUAUACUAUUUCGAGGUUCGGUGCACCGCACAGAGCGUUUUCCGUAUUUAUUUUUUCGAUAUCUAAAAUUUCGUCGGAUGGAUUAUAGCAUAUGACGAUACAAGUGAAGAAAGUUAUUGACGAGUAUGAGGGUUACAGGCCGAACCGAAAGCGAGAUCUAUAAUCACAUUCGUUAAGAAGUUCAUUUUUUCAUAUGUAACGUACGAUAUUUGAUACUACUGGUGAAAAAAAGCGGUUGUUUGCGCACGAAACGUGCAAAAAAGUGCCCUUUUUUUCGCUUGUACCAUAAAAGUACUUUAUGUCACACGGCCAUAAAAGCAUUAUCUGGCGAAUGUGAGUUUAUAAUCCGAGCCGAAAUACUAUUUCUCCACUGGUGGAGGAGAAGAGAAUUAAAAAACAAGAGGUCUCAGGGUACACCAACGUUAAAAGGGUCAAAAUCCCUUAUUGGAUUGAAAAUGAGGAGGAAAAAUGGUUCGAUAAACAAGUUGAGGGAAAUUGUGAUGAGAGGGGAAGAGACAAUUUAUUUUAUUGGUGCAACACAUAAAAAUGGAAGUUUACACUGAUUCACCAAGUAGAAAAGUUGUCUAGCACUUGAGGGGCACCUUUCCUCUUCUUUCUUGAGGGUCCUUCCAUCUUUGAAGAUCUGGAAAAUGAAAGAAUCAUGGAAUUCACUUCGAAUUAGAAACUGCUGAUCCCGAAAAUAUCAAUUAUUGAUACGUCAGUAACGUGACGUUUCAUUAGAAUUGCCGAUGAUUACAAUAAUAGCCUAUAUUGGAAUGCACUGCUUGGAUGAAUAACUAAAUAAAUAAAUAAAAUUAUCUUUUGAA